AGAGUUUGAUCAUGGCUCAGGAUGAACGUUGGCGGCGUGCCUAAUACAUGCAAGUCGAACGGUAGGUAAGCACUUGUGCUUACUGAGAGUGGCGCACGGGUGAGUAACACGUAACUGAUCUGCCCUGUAGACUGGGAUAACCUUUGGAAACAGAGGCUAAUACCGGAUGAGCUCGUGAGGUUUAGAGAAUCACGAGGAAAAGCUGAGGUGCUAUAGGAUGAGGUUGCGAUUCAUCAACUAGUUGGUGGGGUAAAGGCUCACCAACGCGAUGACGGAUAGGGGAUCUGAGAGGGUGGCCCCCCACACUGGGACUGAAACACGCUCCAGACUCCUACCGGAGGCUGCAGUAAGGCCUACUGCACAUUGCACUGAACUCUGUUCCAUAAGACCCUGUUGGGGGAAGGAAGUUUUCGGAUCUUGGCUUCUUAUCUAUCUGACGAUAG
RNAcentral lists this ribosomal RNA (443 nucleotides) under uncultured marine bacterium. Its description in RNAcentral is "bacterial SSU rRNA". It matches the Rfam family "Bacterial small subunit ribosomal RNA", at positions 8 to 451 of the family's 1533-position model. The record is from RNAcentral.